AAGGCAGCAGGGCUGCACCCUCAGCUCCUUCUGCAGCCAAUAACAAGAUGCUUGAAACACCUGCUGCAGUUGGUACGCUCCCGGACAGCUAUGCACAAAUCUACUAUAACUUCAGAUUGGGCCCUACCAAAGUCACAACCGUACAGCUGUUACAGAAAGCUUGACAGCUAUGCAAAAAGGGUAAGUUUAAAAAAUAAAUAAAUCCUAACAGCGUAUUAUAAAAGUUGAAGUCUCGCAGUUACAUAACUUUCCCUCUGAACUAUCACUGAGCAGUUUGUUAUUUUAGAUUAGCUGCUAUAAAUAUAGGUCACGCUAAGCAAAUGUCAGUGCUAUCUAUUGUAAAGAACCGUCUCAAAUUAAAUGCUGUAAAACCCAUACGUCUGGGUAGGACGGAGACGGACAAAGACUGCCAGCACAGAAGAAACAUCAGAGACCACAGCGGUUGCCAUCAAGUUUAAAAUAACAAAUAACUGCGACUGUCAUUCAGUCGCACACAGCACAGGGUUGGGUGCUAGAGCUGGGCUAACACCAAGGAAGAGCAAUUAGCAAAAAUCCUUCUCCGAAUGAGAACAAGAGGGCUCGCUAAGUCGGACAUGUACUCAACCAGGAACUCAUCAUCAUCAUCACCUUUUUGCAUUUCUCCUUCCAAGUAAUUAUGGCAGUCUCACCAACUACCACACAGCCACUACGGUUUCCUGAAGACCGUGUUUUUCCUCAAGCAAGUAACAAAUCCAUUUACUGCUCAAUACAGGACUGUACAACCAAAGAGACAGCACCUGUGCAGAAAUCAGGUUUUCUAAGAGAUAAAGGUUAUGAGCAGCAUUCUGCAGGAAUUCCUUCCAGCUGCAAACAGACAGCAUAAGAGGCAGGGGGAAAACGGGGAGCGUGGAGGACAGGAGCACCCAUCUCAGCCCUCCCGCUCCGGGCUGCUUUGGUCGCGCUGCCCAAGCACUGCUCAGUGCGACUGACCUCUUCUGAGCUAACGAAGAGGUUCCAGUGAUUUCCAUUCUCAAUUCGCUGACUUCUAUUUACUACAGGAUAAGCUGUGUCACAGCAGACCUGGUAACGGUGUCCUUACAAUACUCCACCACACGCUUCCUUUGAUAGGAACAGUGCCACUGCACAGACAAAACAGUGCCUGCAAGAAAUAAGGAGCAGGAUAAAAACCAGAUGGCUGAAGUUAAGUACAGGACGACAGAAGCAAGGCUUGUAGGGAGGAGAAAUCAUUUUGAUGAGCCACGACUGUGAACACGGCUCUGCACACAAAGGGAACACAGCCUGCCACAACACAGCCUGCACCAGCAUAAAUAUCAGGACAGUCUGACGGAAAUAUUGCUGCCUGCACCACCUGAAGGCCACAUUCUCUUCAAUACAAGUACCAGAUGAACACGGCACACAUUUUUGUAAUUUAACAUCAGAUUAACACAGCUUCAGCUGCUCAGAUGACUACCUGUCAGCCACAAUCAAAGCCAGCAUUUGGAACGUCGCGAAGCAAUCUACAAUGUGAACCACGAGCGCCUGAGCUCCGUUCCAGCACACCAGCACCUACACGACCUCUUCCAGCCUCAGUAGUGACCAGCAUGGCUCUGAGGUCCCAGUUCCCCACCCACGCCGUGGUGAAUGUCAGUAAGAACGAAAACAGAAACACCUGUGCACACUGAGUAUUUAACACUGUCCCCAAGGCAGUUUACAUCCCACUGCAUUUUAAAUCUUACCGUACAACAUGAACCCUAAAUAAGAACUCAGUACAGGAGAACUUCAAGUAUACUAUAAUUCAGUUUUUUUUUUUCCCCUGACAUUGCUACAGCUUAAGAAAGAAAACACAAUGAACUUGAAACAUUUCAGUCAACACUUUUAAAAACAUACCAUUUAUCACCACCUACAUAGCCUCAAGAUGAAACUUUUAGGAAUUGAAAGCAAGAUCUCCUUGACAUUGCUUCCUAAAGCAUAGCAAAAGUAUUGUCACAUUAGAAUUAGAUUAUUUUUUUUCAUUAGCAGGCUGAGCGUUAUAGGUAGCAGGCAACAAUCCCAUAAGGUUGUGCGAGGAACUUGUCUUGGGACUGCUCCCCGUACCAUUUCCAUAAAGGAAUUUCCACAAUAAAAAACCGAUAAUGCUUUAAAAUAGCACCUAUUAAAAAGAUCCAAGUCAUGUUUUGAAAGCAGGGUUGUUGUUUUUCGGAAGGCAGAAAAUAAUCAUCAAGCACUCGCGUAUCUUCAAAGACCCUGGAGGGAUCCAGUGUUUCUCUGCACUACAGAUUCUUAACUGACCUGGAAAACACAAAGCUUCUUCAUGGAACAGAUGACAUGAUCCUCCACAGAUGCUGAAAACUGGCAAGAGCAAUACAAAAAGGGCAUGUCGCUGACUACCACUGCAGCCAACAUAUUAACAUGACUAAGAGGAGUCCAACGAUUAAAAAGGAAGAUGAAAUAGAGCAGUGGGAGAUUCUAUUUUACCACGCUGGCAACUUUGAAGGGACUGAAGCAGCUUCAUAGGGCCAGGUUGUGGCCAGGAACCCAACACUCCCUGCAGUUCUCUGUGAAACAGGGAACCUGGAGCCUCAGGCCCCACAGAGAUCUUCUUAACAUCGAUAUAAUUGCUUAAAGAAUGCACUGUCUGCAGUUCAAGGAGAAUGACAAUAUAUUGGAGGGCACCCAGGAGAAAACAAAAUAAAUGAAGUUAAAAAAAAAAAAAA
Molecule: long non-coding RNA, 2693 nt
Organism: Phasianus colchicus (ring-necked pheasant)
Lineage: Eukaryota; Metazoa; Chordata; Aves; Galliformes; Phasianidae
Source: RefSeq, a predicted model, not a curated record